This 244-nucleotide long non-coding RNA is filed under the name Malus domestica (apple). RNAcentral describes it as "long non-coding RNA (MDOM_LNC008270)". Lineage: Eukaryota; Viridiplantae; Streptophyta; Magnoliopsida; Rosales; Rosaceae. The record is from RNAcentral.
AAGGGCUCUUAAAUUCAGCCAAGCAAGGGAAUUAAGACACAAAACAUGCCUAAAUUCUCCCAUGGAUGAAUUAGGACAUAAAUCAAAGCCAAAUCCACCCAAAGGCAAGCCUUGAGAAGCCUAUAAAUACAAGGUCCUCCCACAAGCAUAGAGGUCGAAAAUCUCUACACAGAAGAACCUUUGCCAAACCUUUGAAGACUAAUAUGCUGCCAAAGCUCUCUUCAAAGAACAUUCAACCAAAGCC